GACGAACGCUGGCGGCGUGCUUAACACAUGCAAGUCGAACGGAAAGGCCCUGCUUUUGUGGGGUGCUCGAGUGGCGAACGGGUGAGUAACACGUGAGUAACCUGCCCUUGACUUUGGGAUAACUUCAGGAAACUGGGGCUAAUACCGGAUAGGAGCUCCUGCUGCAUGGUGGGGGUUGGAAAGUUUCGGCGGUUGGGGAUGGACUCGCGGCUUAUCAGCUUGUUGGUGGGGUAGUGGCUUACCAAGGCUUUGACGGGUAGCCGGCCUGGGAGGGUGACCGGCAACAUGGGACUUGGGGAAGGGCCCGACCCCUAAGGGGGGCAAGAGGGGGGAAUAUUGCCCAACGGGCGGAAGCCUGAUGCAGCAACGCCGCGUGCGGGAUGACGGCCUUCGGGUUGUAAACCGCUUUCGCCUGUGACGAAGCGUGAGUGACGGUAAUGGGUAAAGAAGCACCGGCUAACUACGUG
RNAcentral lists this ribosomal RNA (467 nucleotides) under uncultured bacterium. RNAcentral describes it as "partial 16S ribosomal RNA". It matches the Rfam family "Bacterial small subunit ribosomal RNA", at positions 28 to 507 of the family's 1533-position model. The record is from RNAcentral.